GUCUUCUCCUCUUUCCUUUUCAACAAAGCUCCAUUUUUCCUCAACAAUGGCAGAUCUUUGCCACCCCAUUUUUGUGCAAAUACUUUCCUCUCUCAUCUUCAAAGAUCUAGUCAACACAAAUGUCCAAGAAACUUUUAAAGUUUCUGAAAAGAUCAACUGUUAAAAGAUUCGAUUUUCAAUUUGAACGGUCAUAUUGACUCAAAAUCAAAAUCAAGUUCAAAAUCCCGCCCAAAUCGAAACCCUAGUUUCUCAUACAUAAGACGUUCUGGUUCGUUUCGAUCCGAGAUUCGAAUUUGUUCGGGAGUAAGAGAGUAGAUCGAGAUUCACGCCCCUGUUCACUGCACCCACAAGAGGUAAAAUCCUUAUCCUUAUCCCUAUUUCUAUUUUUGUUGUUCGUUACUGUUAAGACGAGUUCCCAUGUAGUAUAAAAUGUAUUUUUUGCAGUUUUGUUGCUUUCCUUUGCUUAAUAUAAUUCUGUGAAUAUGAAUGCAUACGUCGAGUACAAUGCACAUUUGCUGAAGUUGAUCUCUUUUUCCGAAUUUGAAAUGUUUGGCUGAAACUGGAUUUUAGAGUUUAGCGUUGUCUUUUGAAUUCUAUCCGAAACGAUAGAUGAUAAGCUGAAUAAAACAAGAUGGUCAGUCAGUAGUUGUUAUAAUAUGGGGGAUAUCAUUUUACAACUUAAUUAUCAACUAAAUCUUAGCUGAAUAUUGUGUUUGAAUGUGAAGGUAUGUUGAUGUCGUACUAGUAAAUAUUGAGACGAGUUUGGUCUUCCCUUCCACUUUCUUCUGAUGAGAAUUCUAUUUUAGGGAGUUGUAAUGAAUCUAUAAUACUAACUUUUACCAUUCUAAAUAGAGAUGAAAUUAUGUAUUCAUUAAAUACUAGAAAUCCAGUUUCCAUAUUUGUUUAGAUAAAGUUGAGUAUGUCUUGUUCUUCCUUAAGUACAUGACCCUGUUUAGUAGAAUAAUUGGCUCCAUGAGUAAGAUUAUUCUACUCUAAAAAAAGAGCAUGUUUGUGAUGUCUGUUAUGCGCACACAAUACACUAUGUGUUGCUGGUUUAGUUUGCCUCUUGGGCUAAAAAUCGUUCAGCUCAUUGUAGCAAUAUAAUGCCCCUUUAGAUUUUCGAUGAGUUCUGGAAUGUUUGGCAGCAUGUAAGUUUAAAUUUUAAAAGUCGUGUUCAGGCGUCAAAAUUCUUUUUCCAUGUUUGAACUUUGCUGAAUAAGAGACGUGUUUCCUCUCUUUGAAAUAUCGCGUGAAAUACUUGUCGGGAAUUUGCUUUCACGUAUUCUGGAUAUGAUUUUUUAUAUUUAAGCUCAGUUUAAAAAAAUAUGUUUUGAGCAUUUAAGUAAUGUAGUUAAACUAAGGUUAAACCAAAAUCUUAACAAUGUGUUCAUAGGCUAAAUCUUGAAUGUGACAAUCUGUAAUGUUCAAUAUGUCUUUGGAAUUCACCUAAGUUCGUGUUCCAUAUUUACCACUAUGGUUGUUCAGGAGUUUAGAGACUGGGUUACAAAUACUUGCUUUAAUGAUCGAAAAUGAACCAAAAUAUAACUGGAAAAUUUUCUCCAAGUUUGGUAUGUUGAAAUAGUCAGAUAAAGAGGGAGCUGGAUCAGCUGUAUAUUCAUCUAGGUCUUAUUUUAAUUGAACUAGUUUAACACAUAGGAAUUGCAGGGUCUAGGUAUAUUGAAUUUUUCAAACUAGUAUAAACAUCUCAAUGUAGAAUUUCCUUUUAAGUCUGGUAAGUCGAUGCACAAUAUGUACUAGAGCCCGAGAAGUUGGCAAGUUGUAUCAGUUGUGUACUAUUGAUGUUAUCAAGAGAAAGUUUGCCCUCUAGCUGUGUUCAAAUUUAACUUGUUGUGAUCUUACUGCUUGAGCAUUCACUGCCAAAGGGAAAAAGUAUUCAUGGAAGCCAAAGUUUCUGUUUUUUUUUUAAUCUCUUAUUUCCUGUUUCUCUUUGAAUCUUGUUAGAUAUUUUGCGGGUCACAUUCUAAUGAUUUCAUCUCUUCUAUUUAUUUUCCAUAUCCAGAUCUUCUUAUUGUUCUAAUCUUUUCCUUUUUUUUUUUUUUUAAUUUUGUUUCGCAUGUACACCGGAGCCGAAGAGUUUCAUUUGAGACUCAACGACACCACUUACGGAAGCCCGCACAUCAUUCACUAUCUUCUCUCUUACUCUCUUGAGCGGAAAAUUGCAGAACAUUAUCAUCUUGCGAAAGCCAAAAAUGGCGUUUAUCAUUUACGUCACUUUGGCCUACUCCCUAUAGUGUUCAGAAUUUCCUCUGUGACUAAUCCUUUAUUUUGUUUUGUGA
Lycium barbarum (goji berry) is the source of this 2297-nucleotide long non-coding RNA. RefSeq lists it as uncharacterized. Lineage: Eukaryota; Viridiplantae; Streptophyta; Magnoliopsida; Solanales; Solanaceae. The record is from RefSeq and is a predicted model, not a curated record. The transcript is spliced from 2 exons.